This 619-nucleotide ribosomal RNA is filed under the name uncultured bacterium. RNAcentral describes it as "bacterial SSU rRNA". It matches the Rfam family "Bacterial small subunit ribosomal RNA", at positions 566 to 1185 of the family's 1533-position model. The record is from RNAcentral.
CGCGCGCAGGCGGUCUCUUAAGUCUGAUGUGAAAGCCCACGGCUCAACCGUGGAGGGUCAUUGGAAACUGGGAGACUUGAGUGCAGGAGAGAAAAGUGGAAUUCCACGUGUAGCGGUGAAAUGCGUAGAGAUGUGGAGGAACACCAGUGGCGAAGGCGGCUUUUUGGCCUGUAACUGACGCUGAGGCGCGAAAGCGUGGGGAGCAAACAGGAUUAGAUACCCUGGUAGUCCACGCCGUAAACGAUGAGUGCUAGGUGUUGGGGGGUUCCACCCUCAGUGCUGAAGUUAACACAUUAAGCACUCCGCCUGGGGAGUACGACCGCAAGGUUGAAACUCAAAGGAAUUGACGGGGGCCCGCACAAGCAGUGGAGCAUGUGGUUUAAUUCGAAGCAACGCGAAGAACCUUACCAGGUCUUGACAUCCUCUGACCACUCUAGAGAUAGAGCUUUCCCCUUCGGGGGACAGAGUGACAGGUGGUGCAUGGUUGUCGUCAGCUCGUGUCGUGAGAUGUUGGGUUAAGUCCCGCAACGAGCGCAACCCUUGACCUUAGUUGCCAGCAUUCAGUUGGGCACUCUAAGGUGACUGCCGGUGACAAACCGGAGGAAGGUGGGGAUGACGU